Molecule: ribosomal RNA, 472 nt
Filed under: uncultured bacterium
Lineage: Bacteria
Description: partial 16S ribosomal RNA
Rfam family: Bacterial small subunit ribosomal RNA
Source: RNAcentral
GACGAACGCUGGCGGCGUGCUUAACACAUGCAAGUCGAACGCUGAAGCUUGGUGCUUGCACUGGGUGGAUGAGUGGCGAACGGGUGGGUAAUACGUGAGUAACCUGCCCUUGACUCUGGGAUAAGCCUGGGAAACUGGGUCUAAUACUGGAUAUGACAUGCCACUGCAUGGUGGUGUGUGGAAAGGGUUUUACUGGUUUUGGAUGGGCUCACGGCCUAUCAGCUUGUUGGUGGGGUAAUGGCCUACCAAGGCGACGACGGGUAGCCGGCCUGAGAGGGUGACCGGCCACACUGGGACUGAGACACGGCCCAGACUCCUACGGGAGGCAGCAGUGGGGAAUAUUGCACAAUGGGCGGAAGCCUGAUGCAGCGACGCCGCGUGAGGGAUGACGGCCUUCGGGUUGUAAACCUCUUUCAGCACGGAAGAAGCGAGAGUGACGGUACGUGCAGAAGAAGCGCCGGCUAACUACGUG